This is a non-coding RNA of Odocoileus virginianus texanus, 2371 nucleotides long. Lineage: Eukaryota; Metazoa; Chordata; Mammalia; Artiodactyla; Cervidae. The record is from RefSeq and is a predicted model, not a curated record.
UUAACUCAGUUUGGGAAAUAGGGCUGAGGUAGGAAUCUGCAUUUUAACUGGCCCACGUCAUUUUAACUGGCCCUCUGUCUUCAUGUUCCAAAUCAAACACUCAGGUUCAAUGUUGGAGCACAAAGUGGAGGAGGGCUGGGUUUGUGAGACACAGCUGGAGGGAGGAGAGGAAGAUGUGACGGGGACAGAAAGGGACUGUCCUUGGGCUCUUCCUUCCUGCUCCAGGCCCAAACUUUCUCCUGGCUACCUGGCUGCAAGAAAAACACACCUGAGCACAACCCUCCAGAUGAUGUGCUCCUUCCGUCCUCCAGUCUGGGAAGCACUCAUCACUGUCCUCUGCUCCCCCAUCAACCAGAAUCUUACAGGCACCCACAGGAGCCUGCAGAGUCAUGCUGAGAACCCAAAGCACCAGGGAGGACCUGGAGACUGAAGGGCUGAGCCAGAUCAACAUCUUUGAGGCCCUGAGCUCCCUGAGUCAUUGGUGGGGAGCAUGCAGUGGGGGGAACAGUCAGUAUAAGAAAGACCCCCUCCUUACCCCAUGAGCAGGACUGAUAGACCACACAGGUCACGGUGUCUGGAACCCUGGCUGUGAACUUAACCCAGGUGUCCACAACCCUCAACCCCAGGAAACCCUUUCCAGAAUACUGCAGAGGCAGAGAGCAAAGCUGCCUCCAUUCUCAGGCAGGUGAUGUGGGGGAGACACCAUCUUCUGUGCAGCCAGGCCCUGACAGGACCGGAAGAUCUGAGGGUCCCAGAGAUGGGACAUGCUUCCCUGGGGACCUGGGGGAGAAGCCUUUUCAAACUGCACACGCCCAAGACCACUUCCCCCGAAAGUCUCCUUAGAUGACCUUGCAGGUCGCCUGGAGGAGAAUGGACAGUACGUUCCAGUCAAAAGGAUCAGAAGGUGCAAAGGUACAGAGCUUGAAACAGCCUGGGCAUGGGCAGGAAGCCAAGGUCAACGUAUUUGGUGUGAGGUGGAGACAGGAGUCAAUGGGACAGCAGAAGAGAUCAGGUCAGGAAGGCUUUUGCGGUGUGUGGGUUUUAAGCAAAGUAGGCACUGCAGAAAGACAGAAAUCUGGGAAUAUGUGAAACCAGGGAAAUCAACCCCAGAAAUGUUAGGUUCUCCAGAUACCAACUGCUUCUGCAACCAGCUCUAUUUUGAUAUGGCAUGCGGGUCAUUUUGUUAUCAACCUUGGUCCUCGGAGUCUUGCAUCAAUAGAAUUGAUAAGAGGUCGGUGAAGUAAAUCAAGUGAGAGUUAAUUGGUACUCAAGCUGCUGCAGGAAGGACCAAGAACAAAACACAAGUUCCCUUGCUUGCCCUCCGUGGACUGGUUUCUUCAGUGGAGUAAGAGCGGGGGCAGAUCCGCUGAGCGGGCCCCAGGGCUGGCUUAGGUGGUCUGCCCAACUGCUAGUGGUGCUGUGGGCAGGGAUCGUGCCCAAUACACUGCUUUUGCUUUUGGCAACUCAGAAGUGGCAGUACACUUGUGCUCUUUUUGUAUCUACGGUUCAUGAUUGCCUCAACUGCUGGUCCAUGCCAGUAUUUUUAAUGCCUUAGUUUCCCUGUAUUCUGUUGCUUGAGGGGACAUUUGUCCAUGUGCCAGUGCAAGCACCCCACUCAAGGGUCUUCAGCCCCAGACUCUGAAAUUGAAACAGUUCAUGCGAACUUUGUAAUAAGAGGAGCAGAAUCUAAGGUCACACCCAGCCCUGGACACAAGGCCAGCCUUUCCAGCCACGAACUUCAUUCUGGAUCCUUUUGUAAGUGAUGGCCUCUUCUCCUUGGUAAGAACACAUCAUCAAGAGGAUGGAUAAUGCUUUCCCUGUGCUUGGUAAAAGUUAUCCCAACCAGGGUGACCAAGCAGAGGUCAAGAAAAGCCACUCUGCUGGGGUAUUCCAGGUCUCCUAGGGAAGGCUUCACAAUCAUCGUGUCAACCAUCCUAAAGCCAAAAAGGAGUCUCAUUUGGAGAAUUACUCAGGAGACAGGACCACACGUCCUGUUCCCCCCACUGGGUCUAUGUGUGCCUUUGGACAAACUUGGCCCCAGCCUCUGUGACUAUGCUCAAAUGCGAGUUGUAGGAUCCUAGUUCCCCAACCAUGCAUGGACCCCGUGAUGGCUACAGGGGAUGGGAGGAGCCCUAACCACUGGAACGCCAAGGAAUGUCCUCCAACGAGUGACUUGAGUGAGCAAGGGGCUUUCCUCAUCAGAAGGACCUACAAGAAGAACAGCAAGGGUAACCGUGGAUUGCAAGCACCUGCCUGCUCUGCCCCUGCGGCCCUCCAGGCUCUGCUCUCAGCCCACACACCUGUCAGUGAACUUGGGGACUUGGACGGUGUUACCUUGUCACUUCCUGGCCUUUGAACAUGUUGUUCUCUC